UCUCUGCUGGCUCGCUCUUUCUCUUUUUCUUUCUCCUUCCUCGCGCCACAGUUGCUCGAGUCACUCGAUCUUAAGAUCAGUCUUUUGUUCUUUUAUUUCAAAGAGCUCUCAGUCAUGUUUCACUCAGCGCUGAGCACAGUAAAUCUUGUCUGAGCUUGCAUCUUAUAAGCUUCAUGUACACUUAAUGUAAUGUAAUGUCUGUCAUUCUCAUUGUCUCAGCUUUCAUCUACUUCUUCUCUUCUCAAUAUCUUACUUCAGAACAUGUUUUUAUCUUUAUAAUGUCUCUCUGCACUCUUUGUCUCUCUCUCUGUUAGUUCUCACAGUGUUUUCAUCACUGCUCUGUGACUUGAGUUUAUUUAAUAUAAUGUAAAGCUGUCUUAAAUGACUGUGUUGUGUUUAGCAACGCCAUUGCUGUUUGUGUUUCUAUAAGAUCAUCAUAAAGCUAUUGUUGUUAUUGUCUCUUAAUAAACAGUUGUUACUUUUAAUACUGACAACUAGUAAAUGCUGCUAUGUCAUUUCAGCUUGACUUAUUUAAAA
This 537-nucleotide small RNA is filed under the name Histoplasma capsulatum var. duboisii H88. RNAcentral describes it as "Histoplasma capsulatum H88 hypothetical RNA". The record is from RNAcentral. Lineage: Eukaryota; Fungi; Ascomycota; Eurotiomycetes; Onygenales; Ajellomycetaceae.